Xenopus tropicalis (tropical clawed frog) is the source of this 1301-nucleotide long non-coding RNA. RefSeq lists it as uncharacterized. The transcript is spliced from 3 exons. The record is from RefSeq and is a predicted model, not a curated record. NCBI's taxonomy places the organism in Eukaryota, Metazoa, Chordata, Amphibia, Anura, Pipidae.
GCUUUGGUUUUCUAACUUGUAGGUACCAUUCAAAUCGAAUUGGUAAUUGGUUGCUAUGGGCAACUUUGCUGGUGAUGUUUGUCACCAGUGUCAAUACCCCCCCUUAGUGAAUAGGAAGUGUAUCUAGCUUCCACAUAGGAUAACCUGAUGAAUAUGUAUUUGUAAAUUGUGUUUUAUUUUGUAUCCGUCUGACACACAGGAGUAGCUGUUAUGCUGAUACCCACAUAAUAGGGGCAUGAGAGAGCGAUAUACAGGAAGGCUGGCGGUUUUCAAGUAGCAGUGACACCAUUAUGUAAAAGCUAAAAGGUUCAUUUAUGAGCAGUGCCACAGAAAGGAUAUUCCAGCAUCAGCGGGAAGGGUUCCAUGGUGAGCCCCAGAGUUCUGAUCACAUAAAAGGAUCAAACUAGAACAUUUGGGUUUAUCUGAUGCAUCACUUCAACAUAGAAAUGGAUGGAAACAGCACUGAGAUAUUCACCUGUUGUGAGUGCAAUUUUGCAGAAAUAUUUAUUUAUUAAUUAGCACUUUAAAUUGACCUAAGGUGAUCCCCCUCUAUGUUUAUGAGUCUGCAGGUGGGGGGUGUAGGAUGUUUCUUCAUUAGCUGCAAUAAGCUGAACUUCCCUGAGUAACAUAAGGCAUAGGCUUAAGCACAGGGCCACAAGGCUCUAGUCUGCUUGUAAAAUUUUAUUGUGAGCUAGGCAUUUUAACAUUUUUAUUAGCAAAAAAAAAAACCCAUUAAAAUAGGCUUUAUAAAAAGUUUUGCAUUUGUUUACAACACUCAAAUGUCAGAUAUUCCAGCUCAUCAAAAGACAUAACUAGAUAACUAUUAGGUUGAAACACCAGAGAUUCCUACUACACUGAAUUUUAAACAGGCUUUGCUAAAGAUCAGUACUAAUACAAUGUUAGGAUAAGGUGUUUUUACAAACAGUGUUACAUUUCAGGGUGGAGUGGUAACUACUAUAUUUCCAAACACACCCUCUGAUACAUUCAAAUGGCAGAUAAUAAUGGUAAAGCAAACUGCUUGCAAAUGGCCCGGAGCACACAGCGGAACAGGAAGAUCUGCGUUUCAAGGAUGUGUGCACUAUUUAUUUGUGAUUUUGCAGCUGGAAAAACUGUCUGGAUCUGGACUUUAUUAUGUUUUAUGUGUAUAUUGUAAUGGUUCUUAUGCAUUAUUAUAAUUAUAAUUUUUUUGCUAAGUCCAGUGUUGUGCCAAACUGUUUUCUCUGUAUGUUUAUAUGUAUAUGUAUAUGUCUAUACGACCCACAGAUCCCAAGAUUUUUGGGCUGACCCACACAUCACUGAUA